UAGCGGAGGAAAAGAAACCAACAGGGAUUGCCUUAGUAGCGGCGAGUGAAGCGGCAAAAGCUCAAAUUUGAAAUCUGGCUCUUUCAGAGUCCGAGUUGUAAUUUGAAGAAGGUAUCUUUGGGUCUGGCUCUUGUCUAUGUUUCUUGGAACAGAACGUCACAGAGGGUGAGAAUCCCGUGCGAUGAGAUGAUCCAGGCCUAUGUAAAGUUCCUUCGAAGAGUCGAGUUGUUUGGGAAUGCAGCUCUAAGUGGGUGGUAAAUUCCAUCUAAAGCUAAAUAUUGGCGAGAGACCGAUAGCGAACAAGUACAGUGAUGGAAAGAUGAAAAGAACUUUGAAAAGAGAGUGAAAAAGUACGUGAAAUUGUUGAAAGGGAAGGGCUUGAGAUCAGACUUGGUAUUUUGUAUGUUACUUCUUCGGGGGUGGCCUCUACAGUUUAUCGGGCCAGCAUCAGUUUGGGCGGUAGGAGAAUUGCGUUGGAAUGUGGCACGGCUUCGGUUGUGUGUUAUAGCCUUCGUCGAUACUGCCAGCCUAGACUGAGGACUGCGGUUUAUACCUAGGAUGUUGGCAUAAUGAUCUU
This 577-nucleotide ribosomal RNA is filed under the name Candida tropicalis. Its description in RNAcentral is "partial large subunit ribosomal RNA". It matches the Rfam family "Eukaryotic large subunit ribosomal RNA", at positions 48 to 641 of the family's 3401-position model. Lineage: Eukaryota; Fungi; Ascomycota; Pichiomycetes; Serinales; Debaryomycetaceae. The record is from RNAcentral.